AAAGGGCAUACGUGGGAAGCAGGGUGUGAAUGGAGACAAAGGAGAGUCUGGAAAAGAUGGUGCUGCAGGUUUACCAGGUCCCAUUGGCAUUGGGGGGGUGCCAGGAUUUCCAGGUCAGGGAGGGGAGAAGGGCAAAGAGGGAAUUGGUAGACACGGUAUUCAAGGUCCUCGUGGAGAAC
Molecule: long non-coding RNA, 179 nt
Organism: Pseudoliparis swirei
Lineage: Eukaryota; Metazoa; Chordata; Actinopteri; Perciformes; Liparidae
Exons: 3
Source: RefSeq, a predicted model, not a curated record